This 440-nucleotide ribosomal RNA is filed under the name uncultured bacterium. Its description in RNAcentral is "partial 16S ribosomal RNA". It matches the Rfam family "Bacterial small subunit ribosomal RNA", at positions 338 to 795 of the family's 1533-position model. The record is from RNAcentral.
CCUACGGGAGGCUGCAGUGGGGAAUAUUGCACAAUGGGGGAAACCCUGAUGCAGCGACGCCGCGUGAGUGAAGAAGUAAUUCGUUAUGUAAAGCUCUAUCAGCAGGGAAGAAAAUGACGGUACCUGAGUAAGAAGCCCCGGCUAACUACGUGCCAGCAGCCGCGGUAAUAAGUAGGGGGCAAGCGUUAUCCGGAUUUACUGGGUGUAAAGGGAGCGUAGACGGCAGUGCAAGUCUGGAGUGAAAGGCGGGGGCUCAACCCCCGGACUGCUCUGGAAACUGUACGGCUGGAGUGCAGGAGAGGUAAGUGGAAUUCCUAGUGUAGCGGUGAAAUGCGUAGAUAUUAGGAGGAACACCAGUGGCGAAGGCGGCUUACUGGACUGUAACUGACGUUGAGGCUCGAAAGCGUGGGGAGCAAACAGGAUUAGAUACCCUUGUAGUC